CCUACGGGUGGCAGCAGUGGGGAAUAUUGGGCAAUGGGCGCAAGCCUGACCCAGCAACGCCGCGUGAAGGAAGAAUGCUUUCGGGUUGUAAACUUCUUUUCAGAGGGACGAAGAAAGUGACGGGAGCGCAGGAAUAAGCGACGGCUAACUACGAGCCAGCAGCCGCGGUAAUACGUAGGUGGCACGCGUUAGCCGGAUUUGUGGGGUGUAACGGGCGUGUAGGCGGGAACGCAAGUCAGAUGUGAAAACUUCGGGCUCAACCCUGAGCCUGCAUUUGAAACUGUUUUUCUUGAGUGCUGGAGCGGUCAGUGGAAUUCCUAGUGUAGCGGUGAAAUGCUUAGAUAUUACGAGGAACACCAGUUGCGAAGGCGGCUUACUGGACUGUACCUGACGUUGAGGCUCGAAAGCGUGGGUAUCAAACAGGAUUAGAUACCCUUGUAGUC
Molecule: ribosomal RNA, 443 nt
Filed under: uncultured bacterium
Lineage: Bacteria
Description: partial 16S ribosomal RNA
Rfam family: Bacterial small subunit ribosomal RNA
Source: RNAcentral